GAGUUUGAUCAUGGCUCAGGAUGAACGCUGGCGGCGUGCUUAACACAUGCAAGUCGAACGAACCUUCGGGUUAGUGGCGGACGGGUGAGUAACGCGUGGGAAUCUGCCCUCAGGAGGGGGAUAACGGUUGGAAACGACCGCUAAUACCCCAUAUGCCGAGAGGUGAAAUGAAUUUCGCCUGAGGAUGAGCCCGCGUCUGAUUAGCUUGUUGGUGAGGUAAUGGCUCACCAAGGCAUCGAUCAGUAGCUGGUCUGAGAGGAUGAUCAGCCACACUGGGACUGAGACACGGCCCAGACUCCUACGGGAGGCAGCAGUGGGGAAUUUUCCGCAAUGGGCGAAAGCCUGACGGAGCAACGCCGCGUGAGGGACGAAGGCCUCUGGGCUGUAAACCUCUUUUCUCAAGGAAGAAGAUAUGACGGUACUUGAGGAAUAAGCCACGGCUAAUUCCGUGCCAGCAGCCGCGGUAAUACGGGAGUGGCAAGCGUUAUCCGGAAUUAUUGGGCGUAAAGCGUCCGCAGGCGGCCCUUCAAGUCUGCUGUUAAAACGUGGAGCUUAACUCCAUCAUGGCAGUGGAAACUGAUUGGCUUGAGUAUGGUAGGGGCAGAGGGAAUUCCCGGUGUAGCGGUGAAAUGCGUAGAUAUCGGGAAGAACACCAGUGGCGAAGGCGCUCUGCUGGGCCAUUACUGACGCUCAUGGACGAAAGCCAGGGGGGCGAAAGGGAUUAGAUACCCCUGUAGUCCUGGCCGUAAACGAUGAACACUAGGUGUCGGGGGAAUCGACCCCUUCGGUGUCGUAGCUAACGCGUUAAGUGUUCCGCCUGGGGAGUACGCACGCAAGUGUGAAACUCAAAGGAAUUGACGGGGGCCCGCACAAGCGGUGGAGUAUGUGGUUUAAUUCGAUGCAACGCGAAGAACCUUACCAGGGCUUGACAUCCUGCGAACCUUUAAGAAAUUAGAGGGUGCCUUCGGGAACGCAGUGACAGGUGGUGCAUGGCUGUCGUCAGCUCGUGUCGUGAGAUGUUGGGUUAAGUCCCGCAACGAGCGCAACCCACGUUUUUAGUUGCCAGCAUUUAGUUGGGCACUCUAGAAAGACCGCCGGUGAUAAACCGGAGGAAGGUGUGGAUGACGUCAAGUCAUCAUGCCCCUUACGUCCUGGGCUACACACGUACUACAAUGCUACGGACAAAGGGCAGCAAACUCGCGAGAGCUAGCAAAUCCCAUAAACCGUGGCUCAGUUCAGAUCGUAGGCUGCAACUCGCCUACGUGAAGUAGGAAUCGCUAGUAAUCGCGGGUCAGCAUACUGCGGUGAAUACGUUCCCGGGCCUUGUACACACCGCCCGUCACACCAUGGAAGUUGGCCACGCCCGAAGUCGUUACUUUAACCCUUGUGGAGAAGGACGCCGAAGGUGGGGCUGAUGACUGGGGUGAAGUCGUAACAAGGUAACC
Molecule: ribosomal RNA, 1445 nt
Filed under: uncultured marine cyanobacterium
Lineage: Bacteria; Bacillati; Cyanobacteriota
Description: bacterial SSU rRNA
Rfam family: Bacterial small subunit ribosomal RNA
Source: RNAcentral